This is a long non-coding RNA of Lampris incognitus (smalleye Pacific opah), 139 nucleotides long. RefSeq lists it as uncharacterized. NCBI's taxonomy places the organism in Eukaryota, Metazoa, Chordata, Actinopteri, Lampriformes, Lampridae. The record is from RefSeq and is a predicted model, not a curated record. The transcript has 3 exons.
GUGGAUAUUGAGGGGCUUUGGGAUGCUCUGGCGAUGGAGAUGAUUGGUCGUGGAUUGGUAAAAAUAUGCCCUACACAUCGUAUUGGACAAGCCCUUUGAUUUCACAGCUCCUGACAUUCCAGUCAUUAGACGCUGGUGG